GGAUUAUUGUCAUUUAAUUGCUUUUUUAUCAUUUGUUUUUUUCUCAUAUUUGACUUUUUAUGUUCAACAUGUUAUUUUCUGUUGUGAUGUCUAAAGUCUAUGCAAACGACUUUACUCUUGUAAAGCACCUGAGGCAUCAAGGAGCUGAGUCCUCCGGUUGUAUGUAGUUAGCGUAAUGGGUCGGUCCUGUCAGGCUUUGGCAGAGCUCGGACCCACAUGCACAGCACAGAGACCACAGGCAGAACGUAGGUUUAAACGGUUUAUUCAGAAUCAGACAAUCCGGGUCAUGCACAGUUGAUAACGGGGCUUCGGUACCGGUGGGGCAGGCGGGUUCGGAUCCGGGGGCAGGCAGAGUUGAUAACGGGGCUUCGGUACCGGUGGGGCAGGCGGGUUCGGAUCCGGGGGCAGGCAGAGGUUCGGUAACGGAAGAUCGCAGAAUUACGGUACCGUGAGGGAGCAGGCUGUCUCGUCGUCGGGCGGUCAGGUUCGUUAUCCAGGAGCAAUCCAAGCAGCAGUACAGAUCAGGGAGUCGGCAGGAAUCAGAGGUCAGAAACGGAACAGAGUCAAGGCACAUGAACAGAGUAACUAAUUGCUGGAAAGUGUAGUCUGGCUUACAACGAUCUGGCAAGGUAUCCUGGGGCUGAGGGUGCUUAAGAACGCUGAGGAUAAUUACUGAUGUGGACCAGGUGAGGCUAAUGACGACCGGAAGUAAAGCUUGAACUCAGGUAGGUGGCAGGAAACCGGAAGUAUAAUGCAGUAACGCAGGAUGUGACUCAUAGAUGUGACAGGUCCUCACCGCUCAUAGCUGUGACUGCGAAAGGUGCUUCCAACCUCUGGACCGGCUCCAAGAACUCUGCAACCCUUGGAGGUGACGAAUCAAUGGACGGGUGGAGAAUACCUGCAUGGGCCUGAAAGGUGCAAUAUGGAGAGGCUUAAUUCAAUUCAUCCCAGAUGUGUGACAGUGAGGGGCUAAUGUGCCGCCUUUCUAUCCGCCAGGCCGUUCAGUUACAGGCCUUAGGUUUGCUCCAGACAGCUUAGAGGAUUUAAGGCGCUUGCAGAAAAGCAAACAUCCUGAUGAUUUGUUUGGGAGUCACCUGGAUGAAGCACGGCUGUAAAUGCCAGCAAUGCGUCACCGCUGCCUCAGAUCGCGGAGCAGCAUCAGACGGGCCGACGUGAGAAGCCAUCAAACAGACCUUCAGCCUCCCUGCUAAAAGUGAUGCGGCUCGAACAUAAAGAGCCUCCGACACGGAAAAACCUGCAAAUAAUAAAUAAAAGGCUGAGAGAUGAUUUAAAAAUGGC
RNAcentral lists this long non-coding RNA (1299 nucleotides) under Betta splendens (Siamese fighting fish). RNAcentral's name for it is "lncRNA (ENSBSLG00000018973.1)". Lineage: Eukaryota; Metazoa; Chordata; Actinopteri; Anabantiformes; Osphronemidae. The record is from RNAcentral.